RNAcentral lists this ribosomal RNA (529 nucleotides) under uncultured bacterium. RNAcentral's name for it is "bacterial SSU rRNA". It matches the Rfam family "Bacterial small subunit ribosomal RNA", at positions 777 to 1303 of the family's 1533-position model. The record is from RNAcentral.
AAUAGAUACCCAGGUAGUCCACGCCGUAAACGAUGAGUGCUAAGUGUUAGAGGGUUUCCGCCCUUUAGUGCUGCAGCUAACGCAUUAAGCACUCCGCCUGGGGAGUACGGUCGCAAGACUGAAACUCAAAGGAAUUGACGGGGGCCCGCACAAGCGGUGGAGCAUGUGGUUUAAUUCGAAGCAACGCGAAGAACCUUACCAGGUCUUGACAUCCUCUGACAACUCUAGAGAUAGAGCGUUCCCCUUCGGGGGACAGAGUGACAGGUGGUGCAUGGUUGUCGUCAGCUCGUGUCGUGAGAUGUUGGGUUAAGUCCCGCAACGAGCGCAACCCUUGAUCUUAGUUGCCAGCAUUUAGUUGGGCACUCUAAGGUGACUGCCGGUGACAAACCGGAGGAAGGUGGGGAUGACGUCAAAUCAUCAUGCCCCUUAUGACCUGGGCUACACACGUGCUACAAUGGAUGGUACAAAGGGCUGCAAGACCGCGAGGUCAGGCCAAUCCCAUAAAACCCAUUCUCAGUUCGGAUUGGUA